UUAUUGGGGACGGAUGUCACGCUCCCAAUUUGUAACGCUUCUAGUGACUGCAAACUACUUAAAACUGGACUAUCAAUUCUACAGGAACAUGCUCAGUACCUCAAGUCACUUCUCAAGACAGUUGGAAAUAUUCAGAAGCUACAAAAAGGCUUUGUUAUUGACUACAAACCCUUGAAAAUUGAGUGAUACUGAACUGCAUACUGUUCAUAAUACAAUAUUUGAGCUUUUUUUUUCUAAAGAAAGAUACAUCAGCAUCUCAAGACAUUUUUUAAGACAAUUGAAAAUUUUCAGCAGCUGUAAAAAAGCAAUUUCAAACAUUUAACUCAUUUUUUAUUAAUUUUUCAUGAUUGAAUAAGAAUUCGGUCAAUUUUUGUUCUUACUAGUGACUGCAAACCAUCAAGAAUUUUCCUACAAAUUCUACAGAAACACGUUUAGUGCAUUAGGGCAAUUUUAUAUACCAACAAUAUGAAAGUGGGCAGGUCAAUGUCAGGCAUGGAUGGAAACAAUAUUCAAGGUCAUAAUCCAACAACCUUGGAGUGCGUCAGGCAAAUAUUCUAUGGAAACUUUUGUUUGCUGAGGCGUGAGGAGAGUGAAGAAUGCACUUCCUUAGAUAAAAUUUAUGACGGAUUGUCUAGCAUUCGGGUAACAUAGUACUGUGAACAAAUAGUGUCUAGAUGAGAGGUAGGCAACCGUGCCUCUUCCAAUAAUGAAAUUCCAGUGUGCUAAAAAUUUUAAACUUUUUUAGCUUUUAGUUUUUAUCGUUUUAAGCUCCUUCAAUUAUAUUGAAAGUGGAUGUAUUAUUUGUAUCUAUAAAUUUAUUGAAACUCACAGCAAAACAGUAAAUUUAUAAAAUGUCAAAAGUAGUAAAAAUAAAUGAAAAGUCUUUGCUAUAGCGAACAUUCCAAUUAAUAAAAAGAUUGAGAAAAGGUGUAAUGAAUUAUUUCGCAAAUUUCAAAAUGUAUAUUACGAUAAUGAAAAUUAAUUAUUUAUUAUUGGUCAGACAAACAGUCGUGAAUUUU
Molecule: long non-coding RNA, 1019 nt
Organism: Chelonus insularis
Lineage: Eukaryota; Metazoa; Arthropoda; Insecta; Hymenoptera; Braconidae
Exons: 2
Source: RefSeq, a predicted model, not a curated record